CCUACGGGAGGCAGCAGUAGGGAAUCUUCCACAAUGGACGAAAGUCUGAUGGAGCAACGCCGCGUGAGCGAUGAAGGCCUUCGGGUCGUAAGGCCCUGUUGUUAGGGAAGAACAAGUACCGUUCGAAUAGGGCGGUACCAUGACGGUACCUAACCAGAAAGCCACGGCUAACUACGUGCCAGCAGGCGCGGUAAU
Molecule: ribosomal RNA, 195 nt
Filed under: uncultured bacterium
Lineage: Bacteria
Description: partial 16S rRNA
Rfam family: Bacterial small subunit ribosomal RNA
Source: RNAcentral